AUGAGCUCGCGUCCGAUUAGCUAGUUGGUAGGGUAAGGGCCUACCAAGGCGACGAUCAGUAGCUGGUUUGAGAGGACGAUCAGCCACACUGGGACUGAGACACGGCCCAUACUCCUACGGGAGGCAGCAGUGGGGAAUUUUCCGCAAUGGGCGCAAGCCUGACGGAGCAAUACCGGGUGAGGGAUGAAGGCCUGUGGGUUGUAAACCUCUUUUCUCAAGGAAGAAGUUCUGACGGUACUUGAGGAAUAAGCAUCGGCUAACUCUGUGCCAGCAGCCGCGGUAAUACAGAGGAUGCAAGCGUUAUCCGGAAUUAUUGGGCAUAAAGCGUCUGUAGGUUGUUUGGUAAGUCUGCUGUUAAAGACUAGGGCUUAACCCUAAAAAAGCAGUGGAAACUGCUAUACUUGAGUGUGGUAGAGGUAGAGGGAAUUCCUAGUGUAGCGGUGAAAUGCGUAUAUAUUAGGAAGAACACCAAUGGCGAAAGCACUUUACUGGGCCAUAACUGACACUGAGAGACGACAG
RNAcentral lists this ribosomal RNA (519 nucleotides) under uncultured cyanobacterium. RNAcentral describes it as "bacterial SSU rRNA". It matches the Rfam family "Bacterial small subunit ribosomal RNA", at positions 225 to 759 of the family's 1533-position model. The record is from RNAcentral. Lineage: Bacteria; Bacillati; Cyanobacteriota.